Molecule: unclassified non-coding RNA, 305 nt
Filed under: uncultured Pyronemataceae
Lineage: Eukaryota; Fungi; Ascomycota; Pezizomycetes; Pezizales; Pyronemataceae
Description: sequence contains ITS1
Rfam family: 5.8S ribosomal RNA (bases 1-105)
Source: RNAcentral
GAAAUGCGAUAAGUAGUGUGAAUUGCAGAAUUCAGUGAAUCAUCGAAUCUUUGAACGCACAUUGCGCCUUCCGGUAUUCCGGGAGGCAUGCCUGUCCGAGCGUCAUCAAAAUCCACUCAAGUAGUUUUGCUUGGUCAUGAAAGAAGAGUUUGCUUUGCGGAUUCCCUUUCGAAAUUCAAUGGCAGAGAGUCUCAUGAUUCCGGCGUAGUAAUAACUUAUUCGCUUGGUCGUUGUAACAAUCUUGCCCCAAAUCCCCAAUUCUAGUGUUUGACCUCGGAUCAGGUAGGGAUACCCGCUGAACUUAA